UAUCUACUUCCUCCGUCGAAAUUACUUGUCGGAUAAAUGAAUAAAAAUGGAUGUAUCCCUUUCCAAACCCACCUUGUGUGGGAGCUUCUAUGCACUCGGUGUGUUCUUUAUCUAGAACUAAAAUACAUCUAGAUACAUUUAUUCUCAUGACAAGUAUUUUCGGACGGAGGGAGUAUAUA
RNAcentral lists this microRNA precursor (179 nucleotides) under Hordeum vulgare. Its description in RNAcentral is "microRNA MIR1122". It matches the Rfam family "MIR1120/MIR1122 microRNA precursor family". Lineage: Eukaryota; Viridiplantae; Streptophyta; Magnoliopsida; Poales; Poaceae. The record is from RNAcentral.